This 508-nucleotide ribosomal RNA is filed under the name uncultured bacterium. RNAcentral describes it as "bacterial SSU rRNA". It matches the Rfam family "Bacterial small subunit ribosomal RNA", at positions 9 to 507 of the family's 1533-position model. The record is from RNAcentral.
GAGUUUGAUCUGGCUCAGAGUGAACGCUGGCGGCAGGCCUAAUACAUGCAAGUCGAACGGCAGCACAGCAGAGCUUGCUCUGUGGGUGGCGAGUGGCGGACGGGUGAGGAAUACGUGGGAAUCUGCCCAGUCGUGGGGGAUAACGUAGGGAAACUUACGCUAAUACCGCAUGCGCCCUUCGGGGGAAAGCCGGGGACCUUCGGGCCUGGCGCGAUUGGAUGAGCCCACGUCGGAUUAGCUAGUUGGCGGGGUAAAGGCCCACCAAGGCGACGAUCCGUAGCUGGUCUGAGAGGAUGAUCAGCCACACUGGAACUGAGACACGGUCCAGACUCCUACGGGAGGCAGCAGUAGGGAAUAUUGGACAAUGGGCGCAAGCCUGAUCCAGCCAUGCCGCGUGAGUGAAGAAGGCCCUCGGGUUGUAAAGCUCUUUUGUCCGGAAAGAAAGGCGCCGGGUUAAUACCCUGGUGUCCUGACGGUACCGGAAGAAUAAGCACCGGCUAACUUCGUG